CCUACGGGACGCAGCAGUAGGGAAUCUUCCACAAUGGACGAAAGUCUGAUGGAGCAACGCCGCGUGAGUGAAGAAGGGUUUCGGCUCGUAAAGCUCUGUUGGUAGUGAAGAAAGAUAAAGGGAGUAACUGGCCUUUAUUUGACGGUAAUUACUUAGAAAGUCACGGCUAACUACGUGCCAGCAGCCGCGGUAAUACGUAGGUGGCAAGCGUUUUCCGGGGUUAUUGGGCGUAAAGCGCGUGCCGGCGGU
RNAcentral lists this ribosomal RNA (249 nucleotides) under uncultured bacterium. RNAcentral's name for it is "partial 16S ribosomal RNA". It matches the Rfam family "Bacterial small subunit ribosomal RNA", at positions 338 to 579 of the family's 1533-position model. The record is from RNAcentral.